CCAAUAGCGUAUAUUAAAGUUGUUGCAGUUAAAAAGCUCGUAGUUGAAUUUCGGGGUCAGUAGGUCGGUCGUGCCACUGGUAUGAACUGGUUUUACUGAUUCCUCCCUCUUGAAGAACUGUAAUGCCAUUAAUUUGGUGUUGCAGGGAAUCAGGACUGUUACUCUGAAAAAAUUAGAGUGUUUAAAGCAGGCUUUAGCUUGAAUACAUUAGCAUGGAAUAAUGAAAUAGGACGGUUGAUCCUAUUUUGUUGGUUUCUAGGAUUGACGUAAUGAUUAAUAGGGAUAGUUGGGGGCAUUAGUAUUCAAUUGUCAGAGGUGAAAUUCUUGGAUUUAGUGAAGACUAACUACUGCGAAAGCAUUUGCCAAGGAUGUUUUCAUUAAUCAAGAACGAAAGUUAGGGGAUCGAAGACGAUCAGAUACCGUCGUAGUCUUAACCAUAAACUAUGCCGACUAGGGAUCGGAUGAUGUUAAUUUUUUAAUGACUCAUUCGGCGCCUUACG
Molecule: unclassified non-coding RNA, 500 nt
Filed under: uncultured Glomus
Lineage: Eukaryota; Fungi; Glomeromycota; Glomeromycetes; Glomerales; Glomeraceae
Description: SSU rRNA
Rfam family: Eukaryotic small subunit ribosomal RNA
Source: RNAcentral